RNAcentral lists this ribosomal RNA (427 nucleotides) under uncultured prokaryote. Its description in RNAcentral is "bacterial SSU rRNA". It matches the Rfam family "Bacterial small subunit ribosomal RNA", at positions 355 to 774 of the family's 1533-position model. The record is from RNAcentral.
UAGGGAAUAUUGGGCAAUGGGCGAAAGCCUGACCCAGCGACGCCGUGUGAGGGAGGAAGGCCUUCGGGUUGUAAACCUCUAACGCCGAUCAAGAAGUGUGCUGGCGCUAAUAACGCUGGUAUGCAGACGAGUCGGGGAUGAAGUCAUGGCUAACUCUGUGCCAGCAGCAGCGGUAAUACAGAGAUGACAACCGUUAUUCGGAAUCACUGGGCUUAAAGGGCACGUAGGCGGUGAGCUAAGUUGGUUGUGAAAUACCACGUUUUAAGCGUGGAACGCCAGCCAAUACUGACUUGCUUGAGGAUAGCAGAGGAGAGUGGAAUUCCUGGUGGAGCGGUGAAAUGCGUUGAUAUCAGGAGGAACAUCGGAGGCGAAGGCGACUCUCUGGGCUAUACCUGACGCUGAGGUGCGAAAGCUAGGGGAGCAAACG